Molecule: unclassified non-coding RNA, 217 nt
Filed under: Bubalus bubalis (water buffalo)
Lineage: Eukaryota; Metazoa; Chordata; Mammalia; Artiodactyla; Bovidae
Description: minisatellite-tagged sequence
Source: RNAcentral
ACAGACAGACAGACAGGGAAGGCGUCUGGGGAGGGGUCAGGGUUGGCACCUCUGUGCCACUGUCCAAGUUCAAAGCUGAAAGCCCAAGGGUAGGAUGCCCAUUGAGCUCACUGGCACUGCUUUGGGUGGACGGCUUUAGGAAAUUCCAGAACGUGCCACUGCGGAGGCAGGAUGUGCUAUGGAAAGUGCUUGCCAUCUUGGGUGUCUGUCUGUCUGU